RNAcentral lists this ribosomal RNA (247 nucleotides) under uncultured bacterium. RNAcentral describes it as "partial 16S ribosomal RNA". It matches the Rfam family "Bacterial small subunit ribosomal RNA", at positions 523 to 769 of the family's 1533-position model. The record is from RNAcentral.
AUACGAAGGGGGCUAGCGUUGUUCGGAAUUACUGGGCGUAAAGGGUGCGUAGGCGGCAUUACAAGUCUAAUGUGAAAUCCCCGUGCUUAACAUGGGGUUUGCAAUAGAAACUGUAAAGCUAGAGUGCAGGAGAGGUAAGUGGAAUUCCGAGUGUAGAGGUGAAAUUCGUAGAUAUUCGGAGGAACACCAGUGGCGAAGGCGGCUUACUGGUCCAUUACUGACGCUGAGGUGCGAAAGCGUGGGGAGC